AGGAAGAGAAGCUGACCUUUCUGAUUGUGAAAUACUCCCAGAAGCUCUAGGGGCUGGCUGGGUCACAGAGUUUCCUGAUUGCUGCAGGGGCUCCUUUCACUUUGGGCAUGCUCAUCAUUUCUCCAAGGUCAGAGGUUGGAGCCUUCAAUGUUAGUCAUGGCCUGGAAUCCUUCCAAAAAUGUUCCUUUUUCAUUGUGAAGAUUUUCUUACUGGGAGGGCGACUGGCUGAUGGUAUUCAAUGUCAGCUUCCCGUUCCUGAUGUCCAGGUCCUGAUUGGUCAGAAAGUAAAAGAGAAGGAGCUGAAACAGAAUCCAGUCUGUGGCAAAUAUGGCCUGGAGAAGAGAAAUGUCAGCAGGGGCGUUCUUCAAACGGUCUUCAAGUAUUUGAAGGGCUUAUUACCUGGGAGAGAAAUUCACCUUGAUCUGCUUGGCCCCAAAGGGCAGACCUGGAUGAUUGUUGUAGAGAGACAGACUUUAACGCGCCUUGCUAACAAUUAGUGCCUCCAAAGUGGACUGCCUUUAUUGGAAGUCUUCAAGCAAAGGCCAGAUGACCUCUUGUUCAAUAUUUUGGAAUAGGGAUUCCUGCUCAAGUAAGGUUCAAACCGGAUGGCCUCUCGCUCCCCCCAAAUUGAAGAUUUUUGUAGUUUUAUAAUUUGUUUUUGACUUUGUAUUCAUAUGCUCUAUAUCCAGGGCAUCUAAUUUUUAAAUUUAAAAUUCACGUAUUACUUUUCAAUAUUAUUUUAACAAGAAUUUACCUUCUCCUCUGUCUCUCCUCACAGCAUCUGUCUUUUUUCUUCAUGAAAAUGCAACAGGUCUAGAUUGUGUCAAAUGUUUCUCUUGUGACAGAAUUGAGAUUUGAACCCAAGUUCACUGACUCCAAACUGAAUGGUUUCUUUAGUGCAUCUUGCUAUAACAUAGUUUAAUUUUGGUCCCACUGAACUGUCCUCUUUAUCCUAUUUGCUGUGAUUAUUUAUACAGGUUAAAAUAUUGGGGCAAUUGAAGGGGGUGGUUGUUUAAUUGGUCAACAAAUACUUCAAAGGGCAGUUGAUAAUAUUUUGGGACUCAGUCCAAUUGAAUAGCAAAAUAUGAUGGUCUGAGUCUCACUGCACAACUUCUUAGAGCCCUCUGCCUUCAUAUUUUUCUGUGUUUUCCUCUCCUUUAAUCUUCUAUGUCCUUUCAUCUUUCUUUUCCUUUGUGGAUCCCUUUAUUUCCCUUUCUCUGUCUACCUCCCUCACUUUCUCUAUUAACAAUGUAGCACAACAAACACUUAUUAAACUUCUCUGAAACCAGGAGAGAGGCAGAGAUGAAAGAGGGAUAUUUGCUGCUCAAAUGGACCUCAUAAUAAUGUUCCUUCUUAUCCUCUGCCUUUUUUCUCCCCAUCUCCCAAACACACAUAUAUCACAAAAAUGUUCAUAAUAUGGAACAAAGUGUAUUUUUAGUGUUCCACUUAUUAAAAACAGUUUUUGUUCCUUAGUUUUAUUUAAAAAGUCAGCUGAAC
This 1497-nucleotide long non-coding RNA is filed under the name Monodelphis domestica (gray short-tailed opossum). RNAcentral describes it as "lncRNA (ENSMODG00000030879.2)". The record is from RNAcentral. Lineage: Eukaryota; Metazoa; Chordata; Mammalia; Didelphimorphia; Didelphidae.